GUCACUAUAGCCAAGUGGUUACGGCGACAGAUUCGAAUAUUAUGUAUAUAUUAUGUAAGCAUCUGUUCCUCUUUGAGGGCGUAGGUUCAAAUCCUACUGGUGACG
Hygrophoropsis aurantiaca is the source of this 105-nucleotide non-coding RNA. The record is from the annotation of a GenBank genome assembly. NCBI's taxonomy places the organism in Eukaryota, Fungi, Basidiomycota, Agaricomycetes, Boletales, Hygrophoropsidaceae.